GAUGAACGCUGGCGGCGUGCCUAAUACAUGCAAGUCGAGCGAACAGACGAGGAGCAUGCUCUCGGAACGAUCGCGGCGGAAGGGGUAGUAAAACGUAGAUAAACUACUUAUUAACCUGGGUUAAAUUCGGGAAACCGCAGUUAAUACCGGAAAAUAUAUCGAAUCACAUGAUAUAAUCGCGUAAGAAUUUUAUCCUAGCAUUAUUAGUUUGACCUGGGCUGUAUUCGCUAGUUGGUAAUGUAACGGUUUACCAAGGCAACGAUACGUAGCCGACCUGAGCGGGUGAUCCGCCACACUGGAUCUGAGACACGGUCCAGACUCCUGCGGGAGGCAGCAGUAGGGAAUCUUCCGCAAUGGGCGAAAGCCUGACGGAGCAACGCCGCGUGAGUGAUGAAGGUCUUCGGAUCGUAAAACUCUGUUAUUAUGGAAGUACAAACGUGUAAGUAACUGUGCACGUCUUGACGGUACCUAAUCAGAAAGCCACGGCUAACUACGUG
Molecule: ribosomal RNA, 497 nt
Filed under: uncultured bacterium
Lineage: Bacteria
Description: partial 16S ribosomal RNA
Rfam family: Bacterial small subunit ribosomal RNA
Source: RNAcentral